UACGAAGGGGGCGAGCGUUGUUCGGAUUUACUGGGCGUAAAGCGUGCGCAGGCGGUUUUGUAAGCCAGGUGUGAAAUCCCUGGGCUCAACCUGGGAAUGGCAUUUGGGACUGCAAGGCUGGAGUGCGGCAGAGGAGACUGGAAUUCCUGGUGUAGCAGUGAAAUGCGUAGAUAUCAGGAGGAACACCGAUGGCGAAGGCAGGUCUCUGGGCUGACACUGACGCUCAUGCACGAAAGCGUGGGGAGCAAACAGG
This 253-nucleotide ribosomal RNA is filed under the name uncultured bacterium. Its description in RNAcentral is "partial 16S ribosomal RNA". It matches the Rfam family "Bacterial small subunit ribosomal RNA", at positions 524 to 776 of the family's 1533-position model. The record is from RNAcentral.